AACUAACGCUGGCGGCGCGCCUAAUACAUGCAAGUCGAACGAUGUAGCAAUACAUAGUGGCGCACGGGAGAGUAACACGUGGAUAAUCUCCCCUCGAGAGAGGAAUAACUAGUCGAAAGAUUGGCUAAUACUUCAUAAGACCACAGAAACUAAUGUUUCAGGGGUAAAAGUCGUAAGACGCUUGAGGAUGAGUCUGCGUCCCAUUAGCUAGUUGGUGAGGUAACGGCUCACCAAGGCGACGAUGGGUAGCUGGUCUGAGAGGAUGAUCAGCCUCACUGGAACUGACACACGGUCCAGACUCCUACGGGAGGCAGCAGUAGGGAAUAUUGCACAAUGGGCGAAAGCCUGAUGCAGCGACGCCGCGUGAGUGAUGAAGGACUUCGGUUUGUAAAGCUCUGUUGUCAGGGAAUAAAAAAAUGAAUGUACCUGACGAGAAAGGAACCGGCGUAACUUCGUGCCAGCAGCCGCGGUAAU
This 474-nucleotide ribosomal RNA is filed under the name uncultured bacterium. RNAcentral describes it as "bacterial SSU rRNA". It matches the Rfam family "Bacterial small subunit ribosomal RNA", at positions 29 to 524 of the family's 1533-position model. The record is from RNAcentral.